GACGAACGCUGGCGGCGCGCUUAACACAUGCAAGUCGAACGGAAAGGCCUGCUUUCCCUUGUGGAUUGCGGGUACUCGAGUGGCGAACGGGUGAGUAACACGUGAGUGAUCUGCCCCCAACUUGGGUAUAAGCCUGGGAAACUGGGUCUAAUUCCCGAUAGGACUGCAGGGUGGUGCCUGUGGUGGAAAACGAUUUUCUGGUGGUGGGGGAUGAGCUCGCGGCCUAUCGGCUUGUUGGUGGGGUAAUGGCCUACCAAGGCGGCGACGGGGAGCCGGCCUGAGAUGGUGCACGUGCGCACUGGGACUGGGACACGGCCCCGACGCCAACGGGCGGCAGCGAAUGGGAAUAAAGGACAGUGAGCGGAAGCCUGCUGCAGCGACGCCGCGUGGGGGAUGACGGCGUUCGGGUUGUAAACUCCUGUCGAACGCGAGGAAGCCACCUGGUUGGAAGGGUGGUGACGGUAGUGGUAGAAGAAGCACCGGCUAACUACGUG
Molecule: ribosomal RNA, 494 nt
Filed under: uncultured bacterium
Lineage: Bacteria
Description: partial 16S ribosomal RNA
Rfam family: Bacterial small subunit ribosomal RNA
Source: RNAcentral